UACAACGCUGAAGCGUUCUGCAAAUGAUAACUUGCAGAGGUUAUGUGAGCAUACGAAAUUUCCCGUGAAAGAUGUGUUGCGCCUUCAGCAGUGGUUAAAAGAAAUGAAGAGGAAGGACUGGAAGCCAAACCGAAAUAGCACAUUGUGUUCAGCUCAUUUUACAAAUGACUGCUUCGAUAGAACAGGAUUCCUAAUUACAUUGAAAAAGAACAGUGUACCAACUAUAUUUGACAACCCAAAAUCAGAGUGUUCAUCUUGUCACCGAUUAAGGGAAUAUGGACGUGGCUCUUCAUUCUUCAAGUUCCCAUUGGAUGAACCUGAUAUUAUGAAGCAGUGGAUCGCAAAUAUAAACAUUGGACCGUGGUCCCCAUCAAGUGAUAGCUUUCUGUGUUCCGACCACUUUGAACCCUCUUGCUUUCAGAAGAAAAGUACAAAUUAUAUAACUUUACGAAAAGGCAGUAUCCCAACGUUAUUUGGUAAGAUCUGAAACUAUUAAUCCCUUUUAGGUCAGAGAAAACUCAGUGUGCAUAAAGACACGUUGAUGUGAUGCACUAUUGCGUCAAUGCCGUCGAAGCGGUUAAUUAGCUACAGAUUAUAAAGUGCUCUGUUACAGAAAAAUCGUGUGUGACACAUUUCUGUGUAUUUCCAUUGUCGUUAUUUAUUAGUAACUUAUCUGUAGGUGAAAACUUGCAGCAGA
This is a long non-coding RNA of Neodiprion fabricii, 697 nucleotides long. RefSeq lists it as uncharacterized. The transcript is spliced from 3 exons. The record is from RefSeq and is a predicted model, not a curated record. Lineage: Eukaryota; Metazoa; Arthropoda; Insecta; Hymenoptera; Diprionidae.